RNAcentral lists this ribosomal RNA (207 nucleotides) under uncultured bacterium. RNAcentral describes it as "partial 16S ribosomal RNA". It matches the Rfam family "Bacterial small subunit ribosomal RNA", at positions 568 to 774 of the family's 1533-position model. The record is from RNAcentral.
CGCGUAGGCGGUUAGUUAAGUCAGCUGUGAAAGCCCCGGGCUCAACCUGGGAAUUGCAGUUGAUACUGGCCAACUAGAGUGCAGGAGAGGGAGGUAGAAUUCCACGUGUAGCGGUGAAAUGCGUAGAUAUGUGGAGGAAUACCGGUGGCGAAGGCGGCCUCCUGGCCUGACACUGACGCUGAGGUGCGAAAGCGUGGGGAGCAAACA